Long non-coding RNA from Daphnia pulex (common water flea), 939 nucleotides. RefSeq lists it as uncharacterized. The transcript is spliced from 5 exons. NCBI's taxonomy places the organism in Eukaryota, Metazoa, Arthropoda, Branchiopoda, Diplostraca, Daphniidae. The record is from RefSeq and is a predicted model, not a curated record.
AUUAAAUGUGGACCCCAUUUAAAGAAAAAAUUUAUCAGCACUUCCUAAACUCACAGCUUCAUCUGCAUCAUCCUCUCACAUCGUAGACAAAACUUCAAGCUGUUUUGCCCAAUAGUUGUGGCAUUGGACCUAUGGUUACAGGUUUGUUCUUGCCUGAAAGAUGUUUACACCUUUGAACACUUGACGGUGUUGUUGCGUCAUGAAAUUGUAUUGCUGCCAUUCCCUGUAUCUCCCACUUCACAGAGCUCUGCAAGAAAUGAGUAAUAGGAAGCCUACAACAGAUUGAGGAAUUAAACAAUUAAUAGGUUCCGUGAUAUGCCAUUGGAUUUCGCGAGUAGCCGCCAAUGUCAAACUACAACGCAGUUUCUUUAUUGGAAUUGUGUGGUCCUGGCACAGAAAUCCUUGAUGCUGGCCUUUGUUCAUAACAGAAGAGUGACUUCUACCACUUUUCUGCUCCAUCCUAAUCUUCGCUACCCACACUCAUCUAGCUUCUCUGCAUAUUAUGCUGCUAAACAAUUUGCCGUACUUCACUGACGAGUUAGACUAGUCGCUUCCGUCCGCAGCGACACAUGUACUGUCACUUACCACGGGAUUAUGCCCAGAUACGGAGGUAAUGCAGAGAAGACGUUGAGAAGAUGGACACCAGAAGGUUGCCGGUAUCUGAAAAAAAUCAACGGAACAGCAGCAGCUUUUUAUUUUUCUUCAUUAUUCGUGGACACCAACUAACAACCUAAGAUGUCUCCCAUCAUGUGGUCAGAGACACGAUCGCUGUGGGUCCCACUACAAGAACUUCCUGGCAGAUUUACGAGCGGUUCAACGUGGAUCAUCAUUUAUUGCUGGUAUAUGUUUUGCUAGUUAACCCGUUGGCUGCCACGCCUUUGUUCUCCCCUAGCUCCUUAGCACGGGCCGCGCUGUUCGUUCUCGUGGUUUACAUGCCGC